AGUCACAGCCAGCCCCCAAAUCAGUGGUUAGAAACCACAUCUAGGAAGCCUUGUUCCCUGAGCCUGCUGUUCUGUCCCUCUCACACCAGCCCCAGGGAAGUGGCUGCUCCUCCUGGGGCAGCACACAGCACAAUCCUUGUCACAAACCCCAACUGUUCACCACAUUCCCUGUGGUUUUCUUUUUGUUCUCCCAGGAAGACAAGAAAGACAUACACAUGCUCCAUUAUUCUGAAAAGUGAAGCACUGGAGAAGGCUGGAGUUUCAAGCACACUUCAUCAACGGACUGGCUCUGACAAUUUGGUGUCUUGUUCAGUGGCAAACCACUCCCUUCAGUGGAACAGGAUCAAAUCUUUAAAAAUGUAUUUUUAAAUGAAUUAUUUGUCUUAGCAUACUGAAAUGAAAAUGACUUUUGAGUCAUUUUAUCUUCUGUGCCUAAACUGAGUUAUGUGGUUGUGCUUGCUUCCUUGAGCUGACUGUGACUAGUUAGCUCAUGUUUAUGUCUCAGUGUUUGUUUAGUCACAAAGUCUCAUCUAGAAGGAGUUAUUAACUUUCUGAAACAACCUGUUUACUCAGUACAUGUUCUCUCUGUAUUAUGAUAAACAUGAAAUUAGACAGAUUAAUGAAAUACUCAUUGGUCUAUGUUGAAGUCUGCAGAGGAGUUAUUCUGGAUAUAGGGGAAAUUGCGGUUAUCAUUUAUUUGAAUGGGUUUGUCAGUAUAAAAAUUAUCAGAAUCAUUUUCCCCCAAUUACAGUGCUCACAGCAUCUGUAAUUGCUGUAGUAAAAAGCAGUGGAUGAAAAGAUUCAUCUUCCAUAUUGUAAAUACAGUCAGGUUCUUUCAACUGACAGCAUACUAAGGUUCAUUUUUGUAAACAAGCAUGCAUUUUUCCAGUUACUGGUAAUAUCAUUAGUGGCCUAAUCCUGUUACUUUUAACUCAGUAUGCAAGUGUUAGGAAGGUUGAAUGUUGCAGUAAAUUUGUUUACUAAGCAGACAAUGAUAAAAGUAUUUUUGUUACUUCUUUCAAAUGGCAAAUAAAAUCCUAUCUGAGUACUUUAUCA
Molecule: long non-coding RNA, 1056 nt
Filed under: Anas platyrhynchos platyrhynchos (common mallard)
Lineage: Eukaryota; Metazoa; Chordata; Aves; Anseriformes; Anatidae
Description: lncRNA (ENSAPLG00000029196.1)
Source: RNAcentral